This 253-nucleotide ribosomal RNA is filed under the name uncultured bacterium. RNAcentral's name for it is "partial 16S ribosomal RNA". It matches the Rfam family "Bacterial small subunit ribosomal RNA", at positions 524 to 776 of the family's 1533-position model. The record is from RNAcentral.
UACGUAGGGUGCGAGCGUUAAUCGGAAUUACUGGGCGUAAAGCGUGCGCAGGCGGCGCGUUAAGACAGGUGUGAAAGCCCCGAGCUUAACUUGGGAAUUGCGCUUGUGACUGGCGUGCUGGAGUGUGGCAGAGGGAGGUGGAAUUCCAGGUGUAGCGGUGAAAUGCGCAGAUAUCAGAAGGAACACCGGUGGCGAAGGCGGGUCUCUGGGCCGAUACUGACGCUGAGGAGCGAAAGCGUGGGGAGCGAACAGG